ACAGUCUCUCCUUCGCCAGCUCCCACACCGCUGCCCUCCACUUCGUCCCCGCCAUCGCCGCCCGACCGCCUGCUGCUGCUGCAGCUGCCGCCUUCCGCCCCGCUGCCGUCGCCCAGGCUCGCCCCCUCCUCCUCGUCCUCGGUGCUGUCGCUCAGGGACGCGCCGUCCUGCAUCAACUCCUUCCCCUCCAGCGCGUCCAGCUCCAGAUCCACAGUCGCCGGCCCUCGCCCAUUGAAAUGCCUCAAGGGCCACACCGAGGUCUCGGGGCGGCCGCGGCUACUGCCAUUGUUGCCGAGACCCCCGCCGCCGCCGCCUCGGAAGGCCAGAGUCCGACGGUUCCUUUCCGCUAGCAGGGGGCCCCCCGCGCCACCGCCAAGCGAGGUGGGGCCGCCCGCGUCUUGGGGGAGCAGCAACUCCUUGGCUUCCUCGGCGGCGCCGGCGGCCGGCCCGGCGGAGGCCUCCAGGUCUUGGGGCUCCAGGCCCUCCAAUUCCACUUCCUCGUCGGCCCCCCGCCCAUUAGGCGGCUGAAGCGCGGGCGGCGCUGGCGGCGGGGGCUGUCUCGGCUGGGGCUGCGGAGGCCAAGCUGAGGCCUCCCCGCCAGCGUUAUUGUUCGUGGAGCCGCCGCCGCUAGCGGUGACCAACCCGCCUCCUCGGAACGCCAGCGUCCUGCGGUUCAUUUCACUGAACGACAUGGCGCGCGCCGCCGCCGCCGCCGCCCGGUGCCCCGGCUCGCGCACGGCCUCGGGCCGCGUCCCGCGCGCUCCCCGCGGCUCCCCCUCUGUCUCGCCCCCGCCCCCGGCGUUCCGGUCUCGCGGGGCUCGGCCUCGCCCUCUCGCCCGGCAGCCCGGCUCGCGCUCGCUCCCGGGUCUGCUGCACGCGUCCGCUGCCGCUGCCGCUGCCGGGCCGACGCCUCCGACCGCUCUCUCGUCCUCCACCCCCGCCCCGCCGCGCUCCGGGCAGCGUCCCGCGCGGAGAAGGGGGCGGGCGGCGGAGAGGUGAGGAGCGAGCCUGCAGCGAGCGAGGCCUUCGAAGUUGAGCAGCGGAGUGCGGGGAGACCCUCCGCUGCCCCCUCUUUAAAGCCGCGCGCGCACACACCGAUCCUCCACACAGAUAUCCUUCCUCCGCGCGCCGAGGAGUCCCGACGCCGCCGCCGGCUUCGCAGGCGCUGAGGGUGAGAGGCACGCUAAACUGCUCGGCUCCGCCACAUAACGAAGCGACAAUAAAGCCGGCGGAGCGUUUCCGUCCGACCAGGCCCUGGCGGAGGUCGAAUGGCAAAUGAACAACGGACCGUGCGCCCACAAUGCACCGGGACUGGACCAGGCGGUGCCUUUCACGCGAAGAGGUUACGACCACGGACACAACCUCCUUUGAUGCAUUGUGCGAGGCAGCACCUCGGGCCCCGGACAGUAGUCAUUUCACAGAAAAUGCACCGCCCCGAGUGUCUUAUUGCUGUGAUGAAAUGGAAAUUUAAAUAAAAGGUCGAACACGUGCGUUCACUGGGAAGUAUUGACAUGGGUGUUACAUCACCAGCAGCCAAUCAGAUAACUCCAGUCGUGUUUAUACUUCUACAACCACCUUGUGAGUAUUACAGUAUGUCAUAACGUUAUAAAUAUUAGGCAGGGUUUUCCCCAGGAGCGGGGAGGAGUCUGCUUCUACGGACGUUGUGAGCGGCUCCGAAGAUUGUGUGUUUAAAGUCAACAAUUCAUUUUUAAGACUUUUUUCGAACUGUUUACAUUACAUGGACUUUAGAUUGAUUCUGACAGAAUGAACUGGAAAUGAAAUCCCACAGUUAUGAUCGUAGUAGAGUUUUUUUUUCCAAUUUAGGGCCCUUAUACUCCUUUUAAAAAUUUUUAAUAUGCUAAAUUUAGCAAAUACUAAAGUGUUAAGACUCAUCUGACAAUGUGAGAAUUUAAGCCUAUUUCAGGUUAAGAAAAAAAAGAUGUUUUCAAGUUAUGGAGGGGCUUUUUACUCUUAAGCGACAUAUGUAUUAGAAGUUGAAUCACGAACUGAUAAAAUGCUCCAGAUAAUUGUUGACUAAAAAAAAUACGGCAGGACAAAUUUUUUACAUUAAUACAUAUGUGCAGAAAAUGAGAAAUAUACAUGAACUCUUUACAGUUAUAGAUUAAUGGGAAGGGUUAUGUUAAAGGCUUGAACCUCCUAAAUAAUGUAUUAAUGUAAAUAAAGUUAUAUAUGUUUUAUGAAGAACAGGUGUUACAAUUUUUAGACCUAGUUUUAUGAUUCUUAUUCUCUUCAAAAGUUCUUUUUCUAUUUCAAAACUAAGAGCAAUAUGUAAAGCUUUGUAUAAUAUGGAAUAUGGUAUGUAUUUCAAGGUUACUUUAAAAAGCAAGCUUUGGCUGGUCCCAAGGUAGUGAAUUGUCUCAAUUGGUUAUUCACAGUUGGUUGCCCGUUGUACCACUCUUUCCCCACUUCCACUUGACUAGUCUUUUAAAAAUAAAUAAAUAUUUAAAUAAACAAGUCUUCUCAAACAUUAUAAAAGACCGUUUUUCUUAAUAUUUUUUAAAUGGACUAACAUGAAUCCACAUCCAGACUCAUAUUAAUUGUAUACAUUUAUUCAAAGCAACAUUCACUUCAUUCAUUGUAAUUUUUAGUACCUGUUGAUGAGCAGUGUUGUAUAUCAAACAAAAAACAUUGGUUUUAUCUUGUAGAUUACAUGUAAUUUUAAUGUAAAGAAUGACAGUACUACCCUGCCACAAAAGGAUUUUGGCUUUGAGUUAUUUUUCCGGUAAUAAACAUAUUGUCACCUGGCCACCAGUGACCAAGAGCUUGAAAUUCUGAUAUAGUUCUUCAGGUGGGUACAGUUGUAGGGUGUUUUUGUUUGUUUGUUUGUUUGUUUUGUCCUGCUUUGUUUUAGUUGCUGGGAAGCUUAAGACAGUGGAGUCUGAUCUUGACCUAAUUCGUACCCUUAAGAAAUAAGAGAACUCUGCCAAGUGAGGCUGUAUAAUAUGUGCCACAUAUGGAAGAAUGCCAUAAUAAUACUUGUGCUCUGUUUUUAAUGCGUGUUUUUUUUUCAUUCUAGGCAUUUUGAAAAUAAAUACAUUUAUUAUAUGUUAAUCACCACAGCCUCCACCCCCAUAAAAAGAGGGAAGAGUUACUGAAGUUAAUUACUUAUCUAGGAUCAAGGUGAUGGGAAAUGAAAAUGGACUUAAAAAUUUUUAUUUUGCUGGGCACGGUGGCUCACGCCUGUAAUCCCAGCACUUUGGGGGCCGAGACGGGCGGAUCAUGAGGUCUGGAGUUCAAGACCAGCCUGACCAACAUGGUGAAACCCCGUCUCUACUAAAAAUUCAAAAAAUUAGCCAGGUGUGGUGGCGCUCGCCUAUAAUCCCAGCUACUCAGGAGGCUGAGGUAGAAGAAUCACUUGAACCAGAGAGGCGGAGGUUGCAGUGAGCUGAGAUCAUGCCAUUGCACUCCAGCCUGGGCGACAGAGCGAGAUUCCAUCUGAAAAAAAAAAAAAUUUUAUUUCAGCUCUAAAGCUUGUUUUCAUUCAAAAACUGUUAAAUUCAAAUAUUUGCUACUUCUUAUCUCGUAUCCUACUACAUAGUAGGCACUAUAUAAAUUUAUGUAUUAUUUUUGCUAAUAGUGCCAGAAUCAACCAAAAACGUUUAAAUCCAUAAUUGUGUCAGACCUGCCUUUUUCUCAGACAUAUAUCUUACCUUAUGUUUUAUAAAAUCCUCAUUGUCUUCUAUCUGAAGUUAUGUUUAAACAUGGACUAAUUAGGAAUGAAUGACACUAGAGUCAAGUGGUACAAAUAAAUGACUUAAAUUCUAGGACCACUGAACUAACAGUAUCAGGGUGAUGUGUGUGUGUUUG
Molecule: long non-coding RNA, 3828 nt
Filed under: Homo sapiens (human)
Lineage: Eukaryota; Metazoa; Chordata; Mammalia; Primates; Hominidae
Description: non-protein coding lnc-ZNF704-7:6
Rfam family: Y RNA (bases 2353-2447)
Source: RNAcentral